Molecule: ribosomal RNA, 633 nt
Filed under: Acinetobacter junii
Lineage: Bacteria; Pseudomonadati; Pseudomonadota; Gammaproteobacteria; Moraxellales; Moraxellaceae
Description: bacterial SSU rRNA
Rfam family: Bacterial small subunit ribosomal RNA
Source: RNAcentral
GCUAAUACCGGAUAGUUCCUUGAACCGCAUGGUUCAAGGAUGAAAGACGGUUUCGGCUGUCACUUACAGAUGGACCCGCGGCGCAUUAGCUAGUUGGUGAGGUAACGGCUCACCAAGGCGACGAUGCGUAGCCGACCUGAGAGGGUGAUCGGCCACACUGGGACUGAGACACGGCCCAGACUCCUACGGGAGGCAGCAGUAGGGAAUCUUCCGCAAUGGACGAAAGUCUGACGGAGCAACGCCGCGUGAGUGAUGAAGGUUUUCGGAUCGUAAAGCUCUGUUGUUAGGGAAGAACAAGUGCAAGAGUAACUGCUUGCACCUUGACGGUACCUAACCAGAAAGCCACGGCUAACUACGUGCCAGCAGCCGCGGUAAUACGUAGGUGGCAAGCGUUGUCCGGAAUUAUUGGGCGUAAAGGGCUCGCAGGCGGUUUCUUAAGUCUGAUGUGAAAGCCCCCGGCUCAACCGGGGAGGGUCAUUGGAAACUGGGAAACUUGAGUGCAGAAGAGGAGAGUGGAAUUCCACGUGUAGCGCUGAAAUGCGUAGAGAUGUGGAGGAACACCAGUGGCGAAGGCGACUCUCUGGUCUGUAACUGACGCUGAGGAGCGAAAGCGUGGGGAGCGAACAGGAUUAG